This 73-nucleotide transfer RNA is filed under the name Ixodes scapularis (black-legged tick). It matches the Rfam family "tRNA". Rfam says of the family: Transfer RNA (tRNA) molecules are approximately 80 nucleotides in length. Their secondary structure includes four short double-helical elements and three loops (D, anti-codon, and T loops). Further hydrogen bonds mediate the characteristic L-shaped molecular structure. tRNAs have two regions of fundamental functional importance: the anti-codon, which is responsible for specific mRNA codon recognition, and the 3' end, to which the tRNAs corresponding amino acid is attached (by aminoacyl-tRNA synthetases). tRNAs cope with the degeneracy of the genetic code in two manners: having more than one tRNA (with a specific anti-codon) for a particular amino acid; and 'wobble' base-pairing, i.e. permitting non-standard base-pairing at the 3rd anti-codon position. The record is from Rfam by way of RNAcentral. Lineage: Eukaryota; Metazoa; Arthropoda; Arachnida; Ixodida; Ixodidae.
UCCUGGUUAGCUGAGUUGGUUGAGCGCUCUACUGGAGAUGGAGAGGUUCCUGGUUCGAUACCAUGUCCAAGUA